Molecule: ribosomal RNA, 497 nt
Filed under: uncultured bacterium
Lineage: Bacteria
Description: partial 16S ribosomal RNA
Rfam family: Bacterial small subunit ribosomal RNA
Source: RNAcentral
GAUGAACGCUGGCGGCGUGCCUAAUACAUGCAAGUCGAGCGAACGGACGAGAAGCUUGCUUCUCUGAUGUUAGCGGCGGACGGGUGAGUAACACGUGGAAAACCUCCCUAUCAGACUGGGAUAACUUCGGGAAACCGGAGCUAAUACCGGAUAAUAUUUUGAACCGCAUGGUUCAAAAGUGAAAGACGGUCUUGCUGUCACUUAUAGCUGGAUCCGCGCUGCAUGAGCUGGUUGGUAGGGUAACGGCUUACCAAGGCAACGAUGCAUAGCCGACGUGAGAGAGUGAUCGCCGACACUGGAGCUGAGACACGGUCCAUACGCCUACGGGAGGCAGCAGUAGGGAAUCGGCCGCAAUGGUCGAAAGCCUGACGGAGCAACGCCGCGUGAGUGAUGAAGGUCUUCGGAUCGGAAAACUCUGUUAUUAGUGAAGAACAGAUGUGUAAGUAACUGUGCACAGCUUGACGGUACCUGAUCAGAAAGCCACGGCUAACUACGUG